AAGCGUAUGGUGCAGUGGCUAGCACGUUUUGUUGAUGACGAAAAGACAUUUGUUCAAUUCAAAUUACGCUUA
RNAcentral lists this transfer RNA (72 nucleotides) under Clavulina sp. RNAcentral's name for it is "tRNA-Ile". It matches the Rfam family "tRNA". Rfam says of the family: Transfer RNA (tRNA) molecules are approximately 80 nucleotides in length. The record is from RNAcentral. Lineage: Eukaryota; Fungi; Basidiomycota; Agaricomycetes; Cantharellales; Hydnaceae.